Molecule: ribosomal RNA, 1443 nt
Filed under: bacterium
Lineage: Bacteria
Description: bacterial SSU rRNA
Rfam family: Bacterial small subunit ribosomal RNA
Source: RNAcentral
CUUGGCGCAGGCCUACACAUGCAAGUCGAGCGGUAGCACAGAGAGCUUGCUCUCGGGUGACGAGCGGCGGACGGGUGAGUAAUGUCUGGGAAACUGCCUGAUGGAGGGGGAUAACUACUGGAAACGGUAGCUAAUACCGCAUAAUGUCGCAAGACCAAAGAGGGGGACCUUCGGGCCUCUUGCCAUCAGAUGUGCCCAGAUGGGAUUAGCUAGUAGGUGGGGUAACGGCUCACCUAGGCGACGAUCCCUAGCUGGUCUGAGAGGAUGACCAGCCACACUGGAACUGAGACACGGUCCAGACUCCUACGGGAGGCAGCAGUGGGGAAUAUUGCACAAUGGGCGCAAGCCUGAUGCAGCCAUGCCGCGUGUAUGAAGAAGGCCUUCGGGUUGUAAAGUACUUUCAGCGGGGAGGAAGGUGUUGAGGUUAAUAACCUCAGCAAUUGACGUUACCCGCAGAAGAAGCACCGGCUAACUCCGUGCCAGCAGCCGCGGUAAUACGGAGGGUGCAAGCGUUAAUCGGAAUUACUGGGCGUAAAGCGCACGCAGGCGGUCUGUCAAGUCGGAUGUGAAAUCCCCGGGCUCAACCUGGGAACUGCAUUCGAAACUGGCAGGCUAGAGUCUUGUAGAGGGGGGUAGAAUUCCAGGUGUAGCGGUGAAAUGCGUAGAGAUCUGGAGGAAUACCGGUGGCGAAGGCGGCCCCCUGGACAAAGACUGACGCUCAGGUGCGAAAGCGUGGGGAGCAAACAGGAUUAGAUACCCUGGUAGUCCACGCCGUAAACGAUGUCGACUUGGAGGUUGUGCCCUUGAGGMGUGGCUUCCGGAGCUAACGCGUUAAGUCGACCGCCUGGGGAGUACGGCCGCAAGGUUAAAACUCAAAUGAAUUGACGGGGGCCCGCACAAGCGGUGGAGCAUGUGGUUUAAUUCGAUGCAACGCGAAGAACCUUACCUACUCUUGACAUCCAGAGAACUUUCCAGAGAUGGAUUGGUGCCUUCGGGAACUCUGAGACAGGUGCUGCAUGGCUGUCGUCAGCUCGUGUUGUGAAAUGUUGGGUUAAGUCCCGCAACGAGCGCAACCCUUAUCCUUUGUUGCCAGCGGUCCGGCCGGGAACUCAAAGGAGACUGCCAGUGAUAAACUGGAGGAAGGUGGGGAUGACGUCAAGUCAUCAUGGCCCUUACGAGUAGGGCUACACACGUGCUACAAUGGCGCAUACAAAGAGAAGCGACCUCGCGAGAGCAAGCGGACCUCAUAAAGUGCGUCGUAGUCCGGAUUGGAGUCUGCAACUCGACUCCAUGAAGUCGGAAUCGCUAGUAAUCGUAGAUCAGAAUGCUACGGUGAAUACGUUCCCGGGCCUUGUACACACCGCCCGUCACACCAUGGGAGUGGGUUGCAAAAGAAGUAGGUAGCUUAACCUUCGGGAGGGCGCUACCACUUUGAUUCAGGGC